Molecule: long non-coding RNA, 265 nt
Organism: Rana temporaria (common frog)
Lineage: Eukaryota; Metazoa; Chordata; Amphibia; Anura; Ranidae
Exons: 2
Source: RefSeq, a predicted model, not a curated record
CAAAUUGAGCACAAACCUGAGGAACCCAGGACAUGCACAGCACAUGGAUGGAGCCCACCUCUGAAUUGUAUUAGGAAAAAAUGUUCUCAACCUAAUCCACAAAAUGGAUACAUCAAAGAUCGGUACAAUUUUCCAAUAAGUCCGGAUGCUUAUUAUAAUUUGAUUUAUUAUCACUGUAAUUCUGGGUAUCUAUCUAAAGACAAGAAAGAUUACUAUGGAACAACAACUUGUACAAAUACUGGAUGGAAUCCUGAGCCAAAGUGUU